Molecule: ribosomal RNA, 395 nt
Filed under: uncultured bacterium
Lineage: Bacteria
Description: bacterial SSU rRNA
Rfam family: Bacterial small subunit ribosomal RNA
Source: RNAcentral
AAUGAACGCUGGCGGCGCGCCUAAUACAUGCAAGUCGAGCGAGAAGACGUAGCAAUACGUUUGUAAAGCGGCGAACGGGUGAGGAAUACAUGGGUAACCUACCCUCGAGUGGGGAAUAACUAGCCGAAAGGUUAGCUAAUACCGCGUACGCUUCUUGGACUUCGGUUCAGGGAGGAAAGCGAUGCCGAGGGUAUCGCGCUCUUGGAUGGGCUCAUGUCCUAUCAGCUUGUUGGGAGGUAACGGCUCACCAAGGCUUCGACGGGUAGCUGGUCUGAGAGGACGAUCAGCCACACUGGCACUGCGACACGGGCCAGACUCCUACGGGAGGCAGCAGUAAGGAAUAUUGCGCAAUGGGCGAAAGCCUGACGCAGCGACGCCGCGUGGGGGAUGAAGGU